GGAGUGGUUUGAGAUGAAUGAAGGAGGAAUUCCUCAUUCAUGUUUCGAGUUUAUAUAAGAAAACAACAUUCCUCGUAAAGUCGUCGUAAUUUUACGAGGAAUCUACCAGGCCCGUGUUUUUAGUGUUACAAGGAAUCUACCAGAUCCGCGUUUUUAGAAUUACAACGAAUUUACAAGGAAUAUUUACGACGAAUUUACAAGGAAAAUUUUACGACGACUUUACAAGGAAAACUUUACAAUGAAAUUACAAGGAAAGCAUUACAACGAAUUUACA
Molecule: long non-coding RNA, 274 nt
Filed under: Brassica napus (rape)
Lineage: Eukaryota; Viridiplantae; Streptophyta; Magnoliopsida; Brassicales; Brassicaceae
Description: long non-coding RNA (BNAP_LNC012358)
Source: RNAcentral